AACAGGAGAUCUAAUGGGUCGGCCGAACGUGGGAUACUUGGAGAAUGUGAAUGCGGGAAGCAUGGGAAUUAAGCUGGAUACGGGAUAAGUAGCCUGGGACUUCGUUAACGGCUGGGAUCAGGGGAUCCGGAAGAGGCAUACGGGGUGCUGAAAUCUGUUCGUGAACGGGAGGAAUUUGGAACAAGAGGAAUGUUGGAUAUGAGAGGACUCUGUUUAGUUUGGGAGAGGGGUUGGAAGCUAGAAACGUGGACACACCAAAUGAGGAUUUAAGCUGGUUCGGAUUCGAACGUGCUUACGGCUAGGAUGACAAGGGAGGUUGAAAUAUGGAAUGAAGGGGACUUGUUUUAAUGGGUGAACGCGUAUGCAAGUGGCUGAGAUGUGAUGCAGAGGAAUUGGGAUGAAUGGCUGAAUCAAAAUCUGAGAGGAUCUAAUUUGCAGGGUGCAUACGAUUUGGGUUCAGGGAUCAUCUCAACUGAGUUUGACUUGACCUGCAUACCUUAGAUUCGACCAAUAAAAUCAAGCAAACUCGAAUUAUUUUUAAUAAUGCAAUGAUGAAGGGAAACAUAUUUUCUUAUGUUUAAAUUUAAAAUAUGUGCCUAAAAAUAAUAAUAAGUGCUAUGUAAAAUAGAUAACUUUAUUCAUUAUUUAGCACUUAUCACACCCCCCAACCUACAUUUUGCUAGUCCUCGAGCAAAAUAAAAACUCACUUUCGCAGGAAUCGCGAUUGCAUUUACCUUAUGCAAUAAGGCUUUAAACCCCUAGGUGGCCCUAGUGGACGAGUUUUGUCUCGUGAGGAUUUUCGGUGCAGCUACCCACAAACUGCUGUCGAAAGAAUUUAUUUUAUUGUUUUAUAAAAUCUAAUUUCAAAUGCCUUAAUGUCAAGAAUUUCAAAAGCACACAAAGUUUUAAUUACUAAGUCAGCCCAAAUCCCAGGUCAGUAUGCAACUUAAGUUGAAGUCAUUAAGUUUCAGUUAGAAAGUUGUAAGGCAUAUUUAUACUUGGGUGCUCGGUGAAAUCUGGACCAUACACGAGCUAAGGCUUUCGGUUCUCCAAAAUACUGCUAAAGCUAGUAGUUUCCAAGAAUUGGUCAGAUAAGACCUAUACACUGAUUCAAAAUCAUCCUAUCUUGCAAGAUUUCGAGAGUUGUGGAUGUUUACUUUAAUACCUCAUGGGCUUUAUCUGUAAUAUUCCAGUUUACUCGAAUUUUUAUAAUAACGGCUUUCACAUUAUCGUCUUUUCAAGGUCAAUAUUAUUUUCUCUUUUUUCUCUUUUUUAAUUUAUUUUUUUG
RNAcentral lists this long non-coding RNA (1288 nucleotides) under Phoenix dactylifera (date palm). RNAcentral describes it as "long non-coding RNA (PDAC_LNC015142)". Lineage: Eukaryota; Viridiplantae; Streptophyta; Magnoliopsida; Arecales; Arecaceae. The record is from RNAcentral.